RNAcentral lists this ribosomal RNA (468 nucleotides) under uncultured bacterium. RNAcentral describes it as "partial 16S ribosomal RNA". It matches the Rfam family "Bacterial small subunit ribosomal RNA", at positions 28 to 507 of the family's 1533-position model. The record is from RNAcentral.
GAUGAACGCUGGCGGCGUGCUUAACACAUGCAAGUCGAACGGAAAGGCCCUGCUUUUGUUGGGUUCUCGUUUGGCGAACGGGUGAGUAACACGUGAGUAACCUGCCCUUGACUUUGGGAUAACUUCAGGAAACUGGGGCUCAUACCGGAUAGGAGCUCCUGCUGCAUGGUGGGGGUUGGAAAGUUUCGGCGGUUGGGGAUGGUCUCGCGGCUUAUCAGCUUGUUUGUGUGGUAGUGACUUACCAAGGCUUUGACGGGUAGCCGGCCUGAGAGGGUGACCAGCCACCAUGCGACUGCGAGACGCAGCAGAAUGCUACGGGCGGCAGCAGUGGAGAAUCUUGCACAACGGGCGGACGCCUGAUGUAGAAACGCUGGGUGCGGGAUGACGGCUUUCGGGUUGUAAACAGAUUUCGAAUGUGACGAAGAGUGCGUGACGGUAAUGGGUAAAGAAGCACCGGCUAACUACGUG